Terrapene triunguis (Three-toed box turtle) is the source of this 978-nucleotide long non-coding RNA. RefSeq lists it as uncharacterized. The record is from RefSeq and is a predicted model, not a curated record. NCBI's taxonomy places the organism in Eukaryota, Metazoa, Chordata, Testudines, Emydidae. The transcript is spliced from 3 exons.
UUUCCUGGGACAAGGGGAGGAGCAGGGAGGGGAAAAGCCAGUUCCUGCCUCUGCCUGGUCCCUGCACUGCUGGGGGGGAUGUGCUGCCCUUGGGACAGUGUUAGGGGGAUCCCCCAAAGUGGCUCCUGGGAUUCCGCUCUUUGGCUGCACAACUUUAGCCUGAAGGGACCAGUUCCUUUGCUUAUGGACCUUGGGUCUGAUUCAGUCUGGCAAAUCGUAUGCUCAUCUUUAGGGUUGAAAAUUUCUGUCCAGGGGUGAAUUUAUUGUAGAAACAUUGAGGAAAAGACACUCAGCCUAUUUUUGAGAAGGGGCAGAAUGGGAAAGAAGCACUAUGCAUAAAAAGGUUUAAUCGACUUUUCAACAGCCCUUGCAUGUUAAAAAUUUUGGCUAUAAACUACAUUUGACAGAAUUUCUGGCUCAGACAUUCUCGUCUCUAUAAUAUUCAAAGAGCUGUUUUGAUAUUGCUUUGUUAUAAGGGUUGGUAAAUCUCCAUUGUGCAUAUACACUGAUUUUUUUUUUCUUUUUGAUAUGAUUUGUGUACUAACUUCAGAUCUAAUCCGGUAAACACUUACUUAUAUGCUUGUCUUUGGCCAUGUGAGUGGGCCCAUUGACUUCACUUAAAUCUCUGUUUUGCCUCAAUCGGAUUAGUCCUGGUGGGAGAGGCGGCACCUCCACUGGAAUAAAGUGACCAGGCCAGGGUCUUGAAAUACAAGAGCCUAAAGGAUUUCCAAUUUCCAAAUCUGACAUGAUCUCCCGGCUGGAAUGUGAGGAGAAGCCAUGGGUCCCUGAUCUCCAAGGUUACGAGGAAAAAGAAAUCCUGAGAAAUAUUCACACAGGUAGUGGGACGGUGAGUGGGAACAACGAAGAAAAUCUUCAGCAGGAAGGUCCUGAUCAAGUGGAACCAUACACGAUGGUAUCGGGAAGAGCCGAAGGGCAUGUUUCCCAGAGUCCUGAGCAGGGAGAAGUCUGUGAGAGGAA